GAUGAACGCUGGCGGCGUGCCUAAUACAUGCAAGUCGAGCGAACAGACGAGGAGCUUGCUCCUCUGACGUUAGCGGCGGACGGGUGAGUAACACGUGGAUAACCUACCUAUAAGACUGGGAUAACUUCGGGAAACCGGAGCUAAUACCGGAUAAUAUAUUGAACCGCAUGGUUCAAUAGUGAAAGACGGUUUUGCUGUCACUUAUAGAUGGAUCCGCGCCGCAUUAGCUAGUUGGUAAGGUAACGGCUUACCAAGGCAACGAUGCGUAGCCGACCUGAGAGGGUGAUCGGCCACACUGGAACUGAGACACGGUCCAGACUCCGACGGGAAGCAGCAGUAGGGAAUCUUACGCAAUGGGCGAAAGCCUGACGGAGCAACGCCGCGUGAGUGAUGAAGGUCUUCGGAUCGUAAAACUCUGUUAUUAGGGAAGAACAAAUGUGUAAGUAACUAUGCACGUCUUGACGGUACCUAAUCAGAAAGCCACGGCUAACUACGUG
This 497-nucleotide ribosomal RNA is filed under the name uncultured bacterium. RNAcentral describes it as "partial 16S ribosomal RNA". It matches the Rfam family "Bacterial small subunit ribosomal RNA", at positions 28 to 507 of the family's 1533-position model. The record is from RNAcentral.